AUCCCUUUGGGGACGUCCAUUAAAAUUGGAACAAAACGAAGAAGAUUAUCAUGAACCCUGUGCAAGGAUGGCAUGCACAAAUCGAGAAAUGGUCCAUUUUUUU
Small nuclear RNA from Ipomoea nil (Japanese morning glory), 103 nucleotides. Lineage: Eukaryota; Viridiplantae; Streptophyta; Magnoliopsida; Solanales; Convolvulaceae. The record is from Rfam.